RNAcentral lists this small RNA (445 nucleotides) under Pan troglodytes (chimpanzee). RNAcentral describes it as "processed transcript". The record is from RNAcentral. Lineage: Eukaryota; Metazoa; Chordata; Mammalia; Primates; Hominidae.
GUUCCCCCAACGCGGGGGCUGUCCGGCCCUUUUAUGCCUCGGAGAACCUAAGGCAGGUCCCAGACAAGCCAAUGAAGAGCAUCAAGUAUAUGGACAAGGAAAUAAUAAACCUCAAAAAGGAUCUUAUACGAAGCCGAUGCAGUGAGAGGCAAAGUGAGACACCCUCUCCCUUCACCUCCAUCUUCUGAAAGCCACCCUUCUCCACCACUACCGGAAUCUCCACCCUGCCCCUUCCAGCAGCACAACUUCAUGGAACUGAUGACUGAGCCCAAGAGGACUCCUGGAAGGGUAGCUGCCUGGGUGCUGACAGGUGGCAGGAAGGCACAGUGGCUAAGAAACUGGCUCCUGAGAAUUGCUUGAACCCGGGAGGUGGAGGUUGCAGUGAGCCGAGAUCGCGCCAUUGCACUCCAGCAUGGGCAACAAGUGAAACUCUGUCUCAAAAAAA